Molecule: ribosomal RNA, 468 nt
Filed under: uncultured bacterium
Lineage: Bacteria
Description: partial 16S ribosomal RNA
Rfam family: Bacterial small subunit ribosomal RNA
Source: RNAcentral
GACGAACGCUGGCGGCGUGCUUAACACAUGCAAGUCGAACGGACAGGCCCUGCUUUUGUGGGGUGCUCGAGUGGCGAACGGGUGAGUAACACGUGAGUAACCUGCCCUUGACUUUGGGGUAACUUCACGAAACUGGGGCUAAUACCGGAUAGGAUAUCCUGCUGCAUGGUGGGGGUUGGAAAGUUUCGGCGGUUGGGGAUGGACUCGCGGCUUAUCAGCUGGUUGGUGGGGUAGUGGCUUACCAAGGCUUUGACGGGUAGCCGGCCUGAGAGGGUGACCGGCCACAUUGGGACUGAGAGACGGCCCAGACUCCUACGGGAGGCAGCAGUGGGGAAUAUUGCACAAUGGGCGGAAGCCUGAUGCAGCAACGCCGCGUGCGGGAUGACGGCCUUCGGGUUGUAAACCGCUUUCGCCUGUGACGAAGCGUGAGUGACGGUAAUGGGUAAAGAAGCACCGGCUAACUACGUG